Mustela erminea (ermine) is the source of this 107-nucleotide small nuclear RNA. The record is from RefSeq and is a predicted model, not a curated record. Lineage: Eukaryota; Metazoa; Chordata; Mammalia; Carnivora; Mustelidae.
GUGCUCACUUUGGCAGCACAUGUACUAGAAUUGGAAUAAUACAGAGAAGAUUAGGAUGGCCCCUGUGCAAGGGUGACAUGCAAAUUCAUAAAGCAUUCCAUAUUAAA